Molecule: ribozyme, 176 nt
Filed under: Aedes aegypti (yellow fever mosquito)
Lineage: Eukaryota; Metazoa; Arthropoda; Insecta; Diptera; Culicidae
Description: drz-agam-1 ribozyme
Rfam family: drz-agam-1 ribozyme
Source: Rfam by way of RNAcentral
UACCCAGCAACUCAUAUCCCAACCUCCUCGCGGUACUGGCCGGGGUACGAGUAACCUUAGGGAAGAUCGAGUAACCUUAGGGAAGAUCGAGUAACCUUAGGGAAGAUCGAGUAACCUUAGGGAAGAUCGAGUAACCAACCCCGGUGGAAACUCUGGUCGUAUGCUGACAGGGAAGG